GACGAACGCUGGCGGCGUGCCUAAUACAUGCAAGUCGAGCGGAUGACGGAGGAGCUUGCUCCUCCUGAUUCAGCGGCGGACGGGUGAGUAACACGUGGGCAACCUGCCCUGUAGAUUGGGAUAACUCCGGGAAACCGGGGCUAAUACCGAAUAAUCCUUCGGACCUCAUGGUCCGAUGUUGAAAGACGGCUCCGGCUGUCACUACAGGAUGGGCCCGCGGCGCAUUAGCUAGUUGGUGAGGUAACGGCUCACCAAGGCGACGAUGCGUAGCCGACCGGAGCGGGUGAUCGGCCACACUGGGACUGAGACACGGCCCAGACUCCUACGGGAGGCAGCAGUAGGGAAUCUUCCACAAUGGACGAAAGUCUGAUGGAGCAACGCCGCGUGAGUGAAGAAGGUUCUCGGAUCGUAAAACUCUGUUGUGAGGGAAGAACAAGUACCGGAGUAACUGCCGGUACCUUGACGGUACCUCAUUAGAAAGCCACGGCUAACUACGUGCCAGCCGCCGCCGUAA
This 514-nucleotide ribosomal RNA is filed under the name uncultured bacterium. RNAcentral's name for it is "partial 16S ribosomal RNA". It matches the Rfam family "Bacterial small subunit ribosomal RNA", at positions 28 to 523 of the family's 1533-position model. The record is from RNAcentral.